Long non-coding RNA from Mirounga angustirostris (Northern elephant seal), 2612 nucleotides. RefSeq lists it as uncharacterized. The record is from RefSeq and is a predicted model, not a curated record. The transcript has 7 exons. NCBI's taxonomy places the organism in Eukaryota, Metazoa, Chordata, Mammalia, Carnivora, Phocidae.
GGGAGCGCGACUAAGUCGGCGCACUGGGGGAGGCCGGCCGACCCUUUGUCCUCGGCAGCUCCCGGGCUCCUGCCCUGUGCCCGGCACGCCUCGCCCUGCGCGCCCCGCUCGAGGUUUGCAAACUGUCCCGGAGUUCCAGAAGGUCCGAGAGAGAAUCCUCACAAUGGCGGAGCCCCGCCGGGACCUGGGAGCCCGCCGCGGGCCCCUCUUUCCCUGCAUCUGGGUAACUUAACGUGCAGCCGGAAUACGGGAGAGAGCUCAGAGUGCGGCGCGGGCUACUGGGCUGAAUGCUAAUGAUCCCCUCGGAAUCCAAACCCCUGGCGGGUGGGGAUGAAGAGCCAGAACCUUCACGGGGAGGAAAGACACGCUGUCAGUUUGUGCAGGAAAGCUGGGUUUCCGAGAGAAAGGCAGUGAUAAAGAGACACGUGUGUUUUUCCUAUUGUAGAAAGUGACAUCUGCGGAAAAGUCACUGUAUUUCCCCCGUUGGAAAAUCACGUUGUGGCGCCGAUUGCCCUGCUCUCUCCCUCCUUGGGGCUGACUGCACGAGUCGCCUAUGACCUAGCUACAGGGUUUCAACGGUGUUCAGAGCAUGGAAAACCCGAGCUACUUUUAGAUACACUGGUCAUAGAAUCUUAGACUGCGAAGAGACUUUGUUGCCUGAUUCAACUCUCUUCAAGUUCUGCAACUCCCGCCACCCCUUAGGUACUUGAAGGCGCAAAAUACCUGCAGGGACAGGGAGUCCUCUGUGCUUUUUGAAAAUCAACAUUGCCGAAAAGCAUUUCCUUCCACGUCUCCAUUGCUUUCGACUUCUGGACUUUACACAGUACAUUUAAUCUAACUUCCACAUGGUUAUCUGGUGAUAUUUUGGGGAGUUCAACCACCUGGAAGUCUCACCAAGAUCCUAUUGAAAAUCCCCUUUGUACCAAAGCCCAAGUCCCUCAAUUCAGAAAUGGGGAGCCACUGAGGCCCGCAGUGAUGAGAUAAAGAUAUUCACUUUUUGCUGAUGGGGAAGGGAGUCCAGACUUGACUUGCACAUGGAAAGCAAAGAUCCCAUAUUUGAGAAAUGAUAUAAGAGGAAGUGUCAUCUCUCUCUGGAUCAUGAAGAAUCAGGUGGAAAGGAUCAAGGAUAUACUAAGCAUUACCUGAAGAGGCUUCUGGGCAGGAGGAAUCCCCUUCAAAGGUCUCUCUGCCACAUGGCUAUCGAGUUGGUGCAGGCUGCUGGUUGGGUCCUCAGUCAGGACUGCUUGCAAAGGGGUACAAUUGGAACAAAUUCAAAGAAGCAGAUUCAAGAAGGAAGCAAUUCAAGAUGAACCCUGACUGAUGGGACAAAAGUGGCUAAGUACAGACAUGGGGAAGGGCUUUCCUAGCCAUGCAAAAGAAGGACAAGGAUGAGAGGUAAGAAUAAGCUUGGCCAUGUAGAGAUAGAGAGAGAGCAGGUGUAGGGCAAGAUGACUGAGGGGCAGAGCAACAAAGGAGCUUGAAGAUAGCUGAGGCCCAGUGUAGGUUAGAUGAGGAGUUCAGACUCUGCUCUAAUCCAAAUAAAAAGUAUUGGAGGGUUUGGGGUAGCAGAGUGACGUGUUUUGAUGUACACUGUGAACAGUCACUUUGUGACCCACCUUGCAGACUCUUCAAAGAAAUUUCCUAAAUACUGUUUCACACAUCACACUGCCUAUUCGAAAGCCUGAAAUGUCUCUUCAGUUUCAUCAGGAUAAAAUGACAAUUUUCUAAACAUUUUUCCUGCCCUUCCACAAUGUGGAGGCAAUGAACUUACCAAGUACAACUCUUACGAAGCACAAGUUCCCUUCCAUUCCAAUUCAUCUGAUCAGUAUCUUCCCAAACGUACUAUGUCCUUUCUUGCCCUUCACAGCCCCUCCCCUGAACCACUUCAUCCCUUGAUUCUUCUGCCCAGACUCUUCCCAUUCUGCUCCCAUUUAUCUGAACAUUUGUGUAACUGCACACAUCAUUCUUAAAUAGACUGUUUUCUACUUUAUGACCCAUUUGAUACUUUAAAUCUUUAUGUUUUGGUACAUAGGACCAAGCAAAUCAACCUAAGUUUGCUUAGGUUACAGGCCACUGUAAUUUUAUCUUUUUUCUUCUUCUAGUAUCACAAGUACAUAACUCUUAAUGUAAUAGACACCUUUAAAUCCUUGAAAAAUUGUGAUAUGACUCAUCUUUGAUCAACAUGUGCUUAUCUAUCAAAACAUUUGAUUUUUUUGCUAAACUUUGAAGGAAUAAGCACUUUUCUGGGGAGACUAGUUGAUCUGGGGUACAGUCUUUGAUAAUGAAAUAGAAAAUGAAAUUUUAAAAAUAUGUAGAGGGAAGGAGCCAAUGGCCUUGAACUCACUGGCAUAAUUUUUCAGAUUUCUGUCUAACAAUUCUGGAAUGUUCAGUGUUUUUCUUUGGGGAAAUAAAGAACAACAUCCAUGAAGGGAUCUAUUAAUUUGUCUGAGAUAGCUUCACCUCAAGCCCAAGAAUUUUAUAAAUGAGUGGGAUGAGUUCAUUUUCCUCCCGGAUAUCUAUUUGGAACAGAAAACAACCACUUGCUGGAGUUUAAAAAUAAAUCCACAUGGCCAGCCAUGGCCUUUUCCAGCACUUUCCAUCAACCUUAAGUC